UCCGGAAGCUUCUCACGCUGGGCCUGCGUCUCGCGCUGGGCCGCUCGGAAGGCGAGGCAAGGCGAGGCCCUUGGUGCACUAGCGGGGGUGGCUGAGCCCAGUCGUCCGGUCGCCUGCUCGCCUCGGGAGCUCACCCCGUUCACCGCAGAAGUGACAUGAGUAAGAAGUUCAUAACGUGAAACUUUUUGAAGUGAGCGAUUCAGUGACAGCGAGUGAGCGCAUUUACAGCGCUGUGCGACCGCCACCUCUAAGUAGUUCCAAAACAUUUUCAUUGCCCCAACAGGAACCCCCUAAAGGGGUUCACAUCCAUUAAAGGGUGAGUUGUUCCUCAUUAUCCCCCUUCCUGGCAACCCUGGCCACCCCCAACCUGCACUUCGUCUGUUUGAAGUCCCACAUCUGGCUACUUCCUGCAGGUGGAGGCUGUGUGACCCGCCAGCCCGGCUUCUGCGCUUACACAGCGCGUUUGCGGUUCCUCCGCGGCGUGACCUGUGUCCGGGCUCCUCGUGGCGGAGUAAUGUUCCCUGGUGUGGAUGUACCGCGUUUUGUUUCUCCAUCUGUUGACCGGCGUUUGGGCUAUUUUCGCUUUCGGUUAUUGUAAACAGUGCUGCUAUGAACACUCACACUCAUCUAUUUAUUUGAAUAACAAUUCUCACUUCUUUUCUUUUAUCAUAGGACUGGAAUUGCUGGGUCAGAUGGCAAUCCUGUGUCUCACUUCCUGAGAAACCAUCAAACCAUUUCCCCACUGGUUGCACCAUUUCACAUGACCCCAGCACUGUAUACGGGUUUCAGUUUCUCCGUGUCCUGGCUAGCGCCUGCGAUUUUUUCUGUAUCUUUUUAAAAAAAUAUUAUUUUAAAAAUUAUGAAGUUGUA
This is a long non-coding RNA of Canis lupus familiaris (dog), 870 nucleotides long. RefSeq lists it as uncharacterized. The transcript is spliced from 2 exons. The record is from RefSeq and is a predicted model, not a curated record. NCBI's taxonomy places the organism in Eukaryota, Metazoa, Chordata, Mammalia, Carnivora, Canidae.